CAAAGCCGCGAGGUAGAGCAAAUCUCAAAAAAACAUCUCAGUUCAGACUGCAGGCUGCAACUCGCCUGCACGAAGUCGGAAUUGCUAGUAAUCGUGGAUCAGCAUGCCACGGUGAAUACGUUCCCGGGUCUUGUACACACCGCCCGUCACACCAUGGGAGCUGGUAACACCCGAAGUCAGUAGUCUAACCGCAAGGAGGACGCUGCCGAAGGUGGGAUUAGCGACUGGGGUGAAGUCGUAACAAGGUAAC
This 250-nucleotide ribosomal RNA is filed under the name uncultured bacterium. Its description in RNAcentral is "partial 16S ribosomal RNA". It matches the Rfam family "Bacterial small subunit ribosomal RNA", at positions 1250 to 1500 of the family's 1533-position model. The record is from RNAcentral.